AGUGAACGCUGGCGGUAGGCCUAACACAUGCAAGUCGAACGGCAGCACAGUAAGAGCUUGCUCUUACGGGUGGCGAGUGGCGGACGGGUGAGGAAUACAUCGGAAUCUACUUUUUCGUGGGGGAUAACGUAGGGAAACUUACGCUAAUACCGCAUAUGACCUACGGGUGAAAGCAGGGGAUCUUCGGACCUUGCGCGAUUGAAUGAGCCGAUGUCGGAUUAGCUAGUUGGCGGGGUAAAGGCCCACCAAGGCGACGAUCCGUAGCUGGUCUGAGAGGAUGAUCAGCCACACUGGAACUGAGACAUGGUCCAGACUCCUACGGGAGGCAGCAGUGGGGAAUAUUGGACAAUGGGCGCAAGCCUGAUCCAGCCAUACCGCGUGGGUGAAGAAGGCCUUCGGGUUGUAAAGCCCUUUUGUUGGGAAAGAAAAGCAGCAGGUUAAUACCCCGCUGUUCUGACGGUACCCAAAGAAUAAGCACCGGCUAACUUCGUG
Molecule: ribosomal RNA, 492 nt
Filed under: uncultured bacterium
Lineage: Bacteria
Description: partial 16S ribosomal RNA
Rfam family: Bacterial small subunit ribosomal RNA
Source: RNAcentral